This 603-nucleotide long non-coding RNA is filed under the name Bos taurus (domestic cattle). RNAcentral describes it as "long non-coding RNA NONBTAT000742". The record is from RNAcentral. Lineage: Eukaryota; Metazoa; Chordata; Mammalia; Artiodactyla; Bovidae.
UUACUUUUGUACUGUAUUAACUCUUAAAAUGUAUUCAGUAAGUGAAACCAAUGAUUAGUGUAGCACCAACCCCUUCCUUCAAGGAAGCAUUUAAUUCAGUGAAUAAAAAAAUAUUAUUAUCUGUUUUGCAUGGUACAAUGGUUCUAUUAAAACGUACUUGUGUAGUAGGUACUAGAUAAUUUAAAAACAAAAACUGGAAAACCACAAAAAGAAAACAAAAAUCCCACAGCUUGUUAUACAAAAUACGCAUUGCUAAUAGUAGAAGCCAUAUAUUGCCAUUGUACUGUUGUAAUACUGAAGAUUGACUGCUCAUCUGGUGCUAUCUGUAAGCUGUUUGGCAUUAGCGUCUGCUAGGUCCUUCUUCCUAUUUCUUCUUGAAUGUAUAAUGUGUGCCUUUUAAGUUCCUUCUGGUGUUGAAUGGUAAAAUCAGUGUGGUAUUUUUGUAUUAUAAUCUGCACUUUACACUUUCUUGGAAAGUAAGAUUCCAGACUCUCCGGUAUUUUAGUUACAAUAAUAUACGAGUUAGAUGUUACUCUUAGCCAAUCUAUUAGGCUUCUCUUCUUACUGCAUUUUUUCUUUUAAAAGUGAUUGAUUCAGGUCAUG